GCAGCCACUCAUUCAAAGAGUGCGUAAUAGCUCACUGGUCGAGUGAUCCUGCGCCGAAGAUUUCCGGGGCUAAAACUUACUACCGAAGCUACGGCAUCAGUAAUGAUGGGUAGGGGAGCUUCCCAUACGGGUUGAAGCAUGACCGUAAGGACAUGUGGACAGUAUGGGAGUGAGAAUGUUGGCAUGAGUAGCGAGAUGUGGGUGAGAAUCCCACAGGCCGUAAACCCAAGGUUUCCAGGGGAAGGUUCGUCCGCCCUGGGUUAGUCGGGACCUAAGCUGAGGCCGAAAGGCGUAGGUGAUGGACAACAGGUUGAUAUUCCUGUACUACCGAUAACCGUUUGAGAGAAGGGAUGACACAGUAGGAUAAGCUAAGCACACUGUUGGUUAUGUGUGCCCAAGCAUUGAGGCAGUCAAAGUAGGCAAAUCCGCUUUGAUAAUGCUGGGGUGUGAUGGGGAGCGAAAUUUAGUAGCGAAGUAGCUGAUUUCACACUGUCAAGAAAAGUCUCUAUCGAGGUUAAAGGUACCCGUACCGCAAACCGACACAGGUGGGUGAGGAGAGUAUCCUAAGGCCAGCGAGAGAACUGUUGUUAAGGAACUCGGAAAAAUGACCCCGUAACUUAGGGAUAAGGGGUGCCACCAUCAGGUGGCCGCAGAGAAUAGGCCCAAGCGACUGUUUACCAAAAACAUAGGUUUCUGCUAAGUCGCAAGACGAUGUAUAGGAGCUGACGCCUGCCCGGUGCUGGAAGGUUAAGGGGAUCUGUUAGAGCAAUCGAAGCAGUGAACUUAAGCCCCAGUAAACGGCGGCCGUAACUAUAACGGUCCUAAGGUAGCGAAAU
RNAcentral lists this ribosomal RNA (836 nucleotides) under Clostridioides difficile. RNAcentral's name for it is "bacterial LSU rRNA". It matches the Rfam family "Bacterial large subunit ribosomal RNA", at positions 1112 to 1965 of the family's 2925-position model. Lineage: Bacteria; Bacillati; Bacillota; Clostridia; Peptostreptococcales; Peptostreptococcaceae. The record is from RNAcentral.